This is a long non-coding RNA of Diabrotica virgifera virgifera (western corn rootworm), 2788 nucleotides long. RefSeq lists it as uncharacterized. NCBI's taxonomy places the organism in Eukaryota, Metazoa, Arthropoda, Insecta, Coleoptera, Chrysomelidae. The transcript has 2 exons. The record is from RefSeq and is a predicted model, not a curated record.
CUAAAAAAUUAAAAUGAAUGGUAAUUUUUCUAUUCUUUACAAUUAAAAAUCAAAAGAAAUAGGAAAUAGGUACUACUAUUUACAGGUAAUAAUAUGCAUAAAUAAUUCGUUUCCUAAAGAAUACAGAAAAUUGAAAACGUUUUUAUAAUACUUACAUAAUUGUUUAAACAAAAGAGACCCAGCCAGAGCAAAACUAACAGACAGAACUGCAAAAAAGCCACUAAUUUCCAUUUUCCCACCCCCUUAUCUUAUAUGCAUUUUCCAAUCAAAAUUUUUAGGUUGUCAUGAACAUGAAAGACUCAACCUCAACAAAUAAUAAUAAACAAAAAGCUCUACAGCUCUACUUCCACUUCCCGCCAAAUGGACACAGGUUGGUGACACUGAAUUCACGCCAAAUAAAUGAAAAAAUAGAACAAUUUUCUUUUUCGUCAAUUUCUUCACGUGAAGUUUAUAACGAACAAACUUAGAUGUCAAAGUGUGCUUUUACACGUCAAAUUUGGCCUUGAAUAACUUGGUCAAUUUCUUGUCCAAUUUAUUGUUGAUGUAAAGUGGACUUUAGUAAGGCCCGGUCUUUUCACCUCCGAAUAAAUAGUUAACGGGAAGUUUAUCUGACAGAUAAAAAAAGUAGCGUCUUUUCACUCUGGAAUAAAGUUAUCCGGCAGAUAAAUUGACGUUAAGGCCCGGUCUUUUCACCUCCGGAUAAAUAUUUAACGGGAAGUUUAUCUGACAGAUAAAAAAAGUAGCGUCUUUUCACUCCGGAAUAAAGUUAUCCGGCAGAUAAAUUGACGUUAAAUAUCAAAUAUUUAACUGCCGAAUAAAGUACCGAAUAAAAAGUUAUCUGGAAGAUAAACUUUACUUUUUGUAUAUUUCAUGGUUUUUGGUUGCCACGAAACUAAAAAUGUAACCUAAAAUCUUGUAGACAUAUAAAAUCCGUAGGUUACCGCGAAAAGCGAAAAUAAAAAUAUAAUAAGUUUAUGUGUUUCGUUUAUUUGGUGGUUUAUUUUGUGUGUGUGAGAAAUAUGGAUCCUGUAUUGGAAGACCUAGAUUUAGGCCCGGUCUUUUCACCUCCGAAUAAAUAUGCUCUUAUCUGGCAGUUAGCUAUCUGGAGGAUAAAUAUUUAUUCGCCAGAUAAAAAGUACCCGUCUUUUCACGUCAAUUUAUGUUCCAGUUAGUUAUCCGGUAGAUAAGCUUAAAAGUAAGUUUGGAUUCCGAACACACCUGACUUUUAUGUUUAUUUUUAUAAUUUCAGCUUUAACUUAACCUAACAUAAUUAGAUUCAAAGUAUUUCAAAGAUAAUUUUAUCGAUUUUAUUUCCAUUUUGGAAGAAGGAAUGAAGGAAAUAAGGAAAACAUUGAUUAUGCUGAAAUAGUUUACUGGAGAGCUUGAACAAGAGGUAAAUCCAUUUUAAAUUAGAGGAAAACUGUUGAUUUGUAUGUAAAAUAGAAGACAAAGACAAGUUUAAAUAAAGACAAGCUAGCUAAUGAAACAGAUGCAGUGGUAAUUUUGUUUACAUAAUUAUAUAUGUACAUAUUAUAUGAUUAUUAAUAUUAGGUUUGUUCUAGCAAACAGUCAAACUAGUCAGAAACCGUCAGCAAUUAGUUGCUCAGUGAGACAACAUAAUACAGUCACCAGUGCUAUCCCCUAUCUACUCGCGCUGGUCGACUAUUCGCUGAUGGUUUCAAACCGUUUGAAACUGAUGCUAGAACAAACCUAAUGACUGUUCAAUGAUGUAAAAAUUUGUUAAUGUGGGGAAAACUUUUAUUUAAAUUCAAUACUAUAUUUCUGUAAAUAUCAUGCAAUAUGGCAAAACUUGAUGUUACGUCUGAAUUUAGCCAUAAUGAGAUUAUUUGCUUGAUAUGCUAUUUAGUAACAUUUCUUCAAGUUGGUAUAGUUUGGUAUGUGUAUGAUGAAGGUAAAACCCCCUUUGUCCCACAUGUCCCCUUUUAACUUACAGUAGAACCCUAAUUAUCCGUGCUAUGAUUUUCUAUUACUCAAGUUGCAUUUUUGAGGUUUUAUCAACAUAGCGUCAUUGUAAAUCACUUAACGGAAACUCUAUAUGACGAAAGAGAGACUCAUAAUGAAAGAUUUAUUUUUUCUGUUAUCUUUUUAUGGUAGGUACAUAAUAUUAUAAUAUGUAUGUGUAUACAUACUUAUUAUACAUAAGAAAUACAUGUUCGGAUUAUCAGUGCCACCUUCGGUCCCGAGGAGCACGGAUAAUCUGGAUUCUACUGUAUUAGGUAGGCCAGAACUUGAUAUAUUACUUGAUUUCUUAUGUUGAUUACUUUUCGUUUUUGGGUUGACAAAACAUGAUUUAAACUUUCAAAAUGCCCUCCUGAAAAAUUAGGCUAGAUGGACAUAUCAAUCAUUGUCAAAACGCUACAGAUUUAUAAUCCAUCCAACUGGUAUAUUGAAUAGUAAACUAGGGAUAAACCAACUAUGUAUAUCAAAACACAAUAUUUUAAAGAUUGGAUAAUUUACAUGGUAAAUUGAAGAAUCCCAAUAACAAGAAUAAAACCUAAUUUUAAUAUUUGUUAUGGGUCAUUCCACGAACAUACGCUUGUUUUGGAUUACUUCGACAACGAAUAUUUUACGUUGCAAAAUAAGAAGAACAAAAGUAAAUUGCAAAUUACAUUGUUAUUUAUUGGAAUAAUUAUUAGUGCCAUUUACUUUCGUACUUCUUAGGUUGCACAGUAAAAUAUUCGUUGUCGAAAUAAUCCAAAACAGGCGUAUGUUCGUGGAAUGGCCCAUAGUAGAUAUCUUUCACUUUUCUAAAUAAAAAAAAUUGGUU